Molecule: ribosomal RNA, 253 nt
Filed under: uncultured bacterium
Lineage: Bacteria
Description: partial 16S ribosomal RNA
Rfam family: Bacterial small subunit ribosomal RNA
Source: RNAcentral
UACGUAGGGUGCAAGCGUUGUCCGGAAUUAUUGGGCGUAAAGAGCUCGUAGGCGGUUUGUCACGUCGGAUGUGAAAACCCGAGGCUUAACCUCGGGCCUGCAUUCGAUACGGGCUGACUAGAGUUCGGUAGGGGAGACUGGAAUUCCUGGUGUAGCGGUGAAAUGCGCAGAUAUCAGGAGGAACACCGGUGGCGAAGGCGGUUCUCUGGGCCUGUUCUGACGCUGAGGAGCGAAAGCGUGGGGAGCGAACAGG